RNAcentral lists this ribosomal RNA (509 nucleotides) under uncultured Actinomycetes bacterium. RNAcentral's name for it is "bacterial SSU rRNA". It matches the Rfam family "Bacterial small subunit ribosomal RNA", at positions 355 to 874 of the family's 1533-position model. Lineage: Bacteria; Bacillati; Actinomycetota; Actinomycetes. The record is from RNAcentral.
UGGGGAAUAUUGGACAAUGGGCGGAAGCCUGAUCCAGCAACGCCGCGUGAGGGAUGACGGCCUUCGGGUUGUAAACCUCUUUCAGUACCGACGAAGCGCAAGUGACGGUAGGUACAGAAGAAGCACCGGCCAACUACGUGCCAGCAGCCGCGGUAAUACGUAGGGUGCGAGCGUUGUCCGGAAUUAUUGGGCGUAAAGGGCUCGUAGGCGGUUUGUCGCGUCGGGAGUGAAAACACCGGGCUUAACUCGGUGCUUGCUUUCGAUACGGGCAGACUAGAGGUAUGCAGGGGGAGAACGGAAUUCCUGGUGUAGCGGUGAAAUGCGCAGAUAUCAGGAGGAACACCGGGUGGCGAAGGCGGUUCUCUGGGCAUUACCUGACGCUGAGGAGCGAAAGUGUGGGGAGCGAACAGGAUUAGAUACCCUGGUAGUCCACGCUGUAAACGAUGAGAACUAGCCGUUGGGCCUAUUUAAAGGCUUAGUGGCGCAGCUAACGCGAUAAGUCUCCGCCU